GGGUUGGGCCAAAUAGCACAAACGUAGCCGUCCUGAGAGGGUGACCGGCCACACUGGGACUGAGACACGGCCCAGACUCCUACGGGAGGCAGCAGUGGGGAAUAUUGCACAAUGGGCGGAAGCCUGAUGCAGCAACGCCGCGUGAGGGAUGACGGCCUUCGGGUUGUAAACCUCUUUUAGCAGGGAAGAAGCGAAAGUGACGGUACCUGCAGAAAAAGCGCCGGCUAACUACGUGCCAGCAGCCGCGGUAAUACGUAGGGCGCAAGCGUUAUCCGGAAUUAUUGGGCGUAAAGAGCUCGUAGGCGGUUUGUCGCGUCUGCUGUGAAAUCCCGAGGCUCAACCUCGGGCCUGCAGUGGGUACGGGCAGACUAGAGUGCGGUAGGGGAGAUUGGAAUUCCUGGUGUAGCGGUGGAAUGCGCAGAUAUCAGGAGGAACACCGAUGGCGAAGGCAGAUCUCUGGGCCGUAACUGACGCUGAGGAGCGAAAGGGUGGGGAGCAAACAGGCUUAGAUACCCUGGUAGUCCACCCCGUAAACGUUGGGAACUAGUUGUGGGGUCCAUUCCACGGAUUCCGUGACGCAGCUAACGCAUUAAGUUCCCCGCCUGGGGAGUACGGCCGCAAGGCUAAAACUCAAAGGAAUUGACGGGGACCCGCACAAGCGGCGGAGCAUGCGGAUUAAUUCGAUGCAACGCGAAGAACCUUACCAAGGCUUGACAUAUACGAGAACGGGCCAGAAAUGGUCAACUCUUUGGACACUCGUAAACAGGUGGGUGCAUGGUUGUCGUCAGCUCGUGUCGUGAGAUGUUGGGUUAAGUCCCGCAACGAGCGCAACCCUCGUUCUAUGUUGCCAGCACUAAUUGCUGGGAACUCAUGGGAUACUGCC
This 883-nucleotide ribosomal RNA is filed under the name uncultured bacterium. RNAcentral's name for it is "bacterial SSU rRNA". It matches the Rfam family "Bacterial small subunit ribosomal RNA", at positions 256 to 1153 of the family's 1533-position model. The record is from RNAcentral.